RNAcentral lists this transfer RNA (75 nucleotides) under Gehyra barea. RNAcentral's name for it is "tRNA-Tyr". Lineage: Eukaryota; Metazoa; Chordata; Lepidosauria; Squamata; Gekkonidae. The record is from RNAcentral.
GGUAGUGUGACCGAGAACAAGGUGACGAGCUGUAGAUUCGUUUAGGGGAGAAGAAUAAGGUAAUCCUCACUAUCA